CUAUAACCUACAACAGCGAGCGCGGCGCGAAAACGCGCGUGAUAGGCACACAUGGACAAGGGAACGUGUUCUAUCUCAUUAGGUGUUCUGACGCUUAUCGCCAUCUAUCGCCAGAGAGAAUAUCGACAUUUACCGCUACGCACUGCUGCCCUCUGAAGAAGUGGAUGUAAACUACACAAUAUUCUUUUUGCGAUAAUCUGGCAAAAAACAAAAUUAUUUGUAGAGGCCCUCCAUCACCCCCGUCGGUUCUAAUCAGCGGUCCUCUUUGGACUA
This is a long non-coding RNA of Atta colombica, 273 nucleotides long. RefSeq lists it as uncharacterized. The transcript is spliced from 3 exons. Lineage: Eukaryota; Metazoa; Arthropoda; Insecta; Hymenoptera; Formicidae. The record is from RefSeq and is a predicted model, not a curated record.